This 510-nucleotide ribosomal RNA is filed under the name uncultured bacterium. RNAcentral's name for it is "partial 16S ribosomal RNA". It matches the Rfam family "Bacterial small subunit ribosomal RNA", at positions 28 to 507 of the family's 1533-position model. The record is from RNAcentral.
GACGAACGCUGGCGGCGUGCUUAACACAUGCAAGUCGAACGAAGAGCGAUGGAAGCUUGCUUCUAUCAAUCUUAGUGGCGAACGGGUGAGUAACGCGUAAUCAACCUGCCCUUCAGAGGGGGACAACAGUUGGAAACGACUGCUAAUACCGCAUACGAUCUAAUCUCGGCAUCGAGGAUAGAUGAAAGGUGGCCUCUACAUGUAAGCUAUCACUGAAGGAGGGGAUUGCGUCUGAUUAGCUAGUUGGAGGGGUAACGGCCCACCAAGGCGAUGAUCAGUAGCCGGUCUGAGAGAAUGAACGGCCACAUUGGGACUGAGACACGGCCCAGACUCCUAUGGGAGGCAGCAGUGGGGAAUCUUCCGCAAUGGACGAAAGUCUGACGGAGCAACGCCGCGUGAGUGAUGACGGCCUUCGGGUUGUAAAGCUCUGUUAAUCGGGACGAAAGGCCUUCUUGCGAAUAGUGAGAAGGAUUGACGGUACCGGAAUAGAAAGCCACGGCUAACUACGUG